Molecule: transfer-messenger RNA, 416 nt
Filed under: Candidatus Theseobacter exili
Lineage: Bacteria; Pseudomonadati; Candidatus Auribacterota; Candidatus Auribacteria; Candidatus Theseobacterales; Candidatus Theseobacteraceae
Rfam family: transfer-messenger RNA
About the family: Bacterial tmRNA, also known as 10Sa RNA or SsrA, is named for its dual tRNA and mRNA-like properties.
Source: RNAcentral
GGGGGUGCUUGGAUUCGACUUGUGUGUUUUUGUAUCAGUGGCAUGCAGAGGUAGCCGGGAGGCCUCUUAAAACACCUGGCAAAUUCACAAAUGCCGACACUAACAAAGUGAUUCCUUUUAACGGAGUUGGAGCUACCAAUUUGGUGCCUUUCAGCCCUGUUCAGGGAUUGGCAUUGGCCAUGUAAUAAUGGCCUCGUCCUUACUGUUCAGCCUGCGGGGUGGAUAAGGGCGACGACUAGCAGGAUAGCUGAGGAUCCGUGCCCGCGGGAUCCAACGCGAAAUUAAACAGAGGGCUGGCCGGAAGUUCAUCCUGUCGAUGGGAGGUUCAUCCAGUGAGAUUAAAUUAUCGACUAUGCAUGUAGAAGCUUUUACUGCGGCACGUAAGGACGCGGGUUCGAUUCCCGCCACCUCCACCA